RNAcentral lists this ribosomal RNA (335 nucleotides) under uncultured bacterium. Its description in RNAcentral is "bacterial SSU rRNA". It matches the Rfam family "Bacterial small subunit ribosomal RNA", at positions 8 to 334 of the family's 1533-position model. The record is from RNAcentral.
AGGGUUUGAUUAUGGCUCAGGAUGAACGCUAGCUACAGGCUUAACACAUGCAAGUCGAGGGGCAGCGGGAUUGAAGCUUGCUUCAAUUGCCGGCGACCGGCGCACGGGUGAGUAACGCGUAUCCAACCUUCCGUACACUCAGGGAUAGCCUUUCGAAAGAAAGAUUAAUACCUGAUGGUAUGAUGAGAUUGCAUGAUAGCAUCAUUAAAGAUUUAUCGGUGUACGAUGGGGAUGCGUUCCAUUAGGUAGUAGGCGGGGUAACGGCCCACCUAGCCAACGAUGGAUAGGGGUUCUGAGAGGAAGGUCCCCCACAUUGGAACUGAGACACGGUCCAA